Molecule: long non-coding RNA, 1467 nt
Organism: Rhea pennata
Lineage: Eukaryota; Metazoa; Chordata; Aves; Rheiformes; Rheidae
Exons: 4
Source: RefSeq, a predicted model, not a curated record
GUGAAGAAUGAGGGCAGGGGAGGAACAGGUGGGAGCUGGGGGCAGGUGUGCCAGAGGAGAGCGGUUUGGGGCAGGACUCCGAGGGGUGAGGAUGUGCAGCUGAGCGGAGUAAAGGCUGCUUUACUUGCUGGGGGCAGCUCAGCUACCGAGAUGGUCCCAGGAGGUGGACGGUGUUUACGUGUACUAACUCUGUUGUGCUACUGGCCUGACUUAAUCAGUGUGUUUCAGCGUGCCUGGCCUAACUGUAUCUGGUCUGUGGCCAGAAGAGGAAAAAUCUGUGGACUGAACGCAUGGUCUCCUGAGCUCUAGUCUCAGCUCCCAGUGGUGGGCUUUGAACUUGAAUAGAUUACAACUGGAGGAAUUCUAAAGAAUCCAGGUCUUCUUGUAAUGGUGUUUAACUGCAUUGUGCUCUCUGAACAGAGGAAAUCACUGAGAUGUCAAGGUCUAAAUGACAUUUUGAGACUGAGCAUACUGUAUAUAAGGGGAUCUUCCCUGGAUGAUCUGAUGGCAUGCAGCAUGAUAUACCAGCCAAGGAGAGACAGAAGGCACAUAGUGACGCUGUUUGUACUGCAUCCACCCACAGUUUUUAAUGGCAAGUUUUCUGAAAAGUCAUAUACUUCAAAGACUUACAAGAUUCUGAGUUACUGAGCUAGAAAUUAUGCUGGCUCUGCCCAACUUCUGUGCCAGGAUGUGGGGAUACUUGGCAGUGGUUUUGGAAUUCCAAGAAAAAUAACCUCUUUCCUUUGUAUGACGCACUGCCGACUUGCCAAACUCAAAGAGCAACAAGGAAGAAAACCACUGCAGAUGAGGAAGCAUGAAGUCUCCAGUUUCCCUUUUCAACAGCUGUGGAGAUGAUAACCCUAACAACUGCUGAAUAUUCAUAUCUUGUCUGCUUGGUGCAACAUCGUGCUAAUGAUGGGAGAGAACCUGAUGUGCCUCUUAACAAGGACAACUUGAAAGGAGAGCAUGAAAUGUCCAAAUGGUGAACAAACUGCAACUGUCCUUGUUAUGAAGUGUCAGCUGCAAACUACAGAUCCCAGCAGGGUCGUAGACAUCUGGACCCAAGAUGCAGCAUUGCAUGUUGGAACUUGCAGUGUGCUGGCACUGCCUCUGCGCAGCUGACCCGCCUGGCAGACCUGGGGGCAGUUAGCCACCUCACCAGUUUGCGGGAGCCUAUGCUUCACUUGAUGGACCACAAGCCUCAGUAUUAUCUUGGAUUUUUUUAAGAUAUUUUGGGGCUCUGCAUGUGUCUGUAAUACUGAUACCACCACAGUUCUCAAACAAAAUAGUUGCUUUUUCUUUCACAUAGGGAGAGCAGUAGGUUUUCUUUAUUUACAUUUCUAAUAUAGUUGUGCAUAGAGAGGAUUUGUUCAUAAUUAAGGCUUCUUUCUUCAGAGUCUUUUGAAGUUUAUUUCUUUGAGCUAAUUCUUAAGACUAAAUUCUUCCAAGCUACCAAUAAAAUGUUAA